UCCUCAGCUUCAGCACUAUUGACAUUGGA
This 29-nucleotide non-coding RNA is filed under the name Mus musculus (house mouse). Lineage: Eukaryota; Metazoa; Chordata; Mammalia; Rodentia; Muridae. The record is from RNAcentral.